Non-coding RNA from Drosophila melanogaster (fruit fly), 263 nucleotides. NCBI's taxonomy places the organism in Eukaryota, Metazoa, Arthropoda, Insecta, Diptera, Drosophilidae. The record is from Ensembl.
AGCGGCUUUCAUCGCUGGCGCCACAAAUGUUGCUUACCUUGCCCGAGAAAGUAGCUGACCUUGACGGAAUUCCGAAUCGUGGAUAUAUCAUAGGUAGAAAGCCGAAUUUUGGAUCGAUCUGGUGUCUAAUUGGGCGCAUGUUGAGUGCAUUGACCAACAUCUUUGGCUGCCGUAUCGAAAUGGGCACAUCAAAUCGGCCGUUGACGUCAGCUAACACCAUUUGUUUCGUUUUCAAAAAAAAAAAGAAAUAAUAAUUAAUGUUU